GAUGAACGCUGGCGGCGUGCCUAAUACAUGCAAGUCGAGCGAACGGACGAGAAGCUUGCUUCUCUGAUGUUAGCGGCGGACGGGUGAGUAACACGUGGAUAACCUACCUAUAAGACUGGGAUAACUUCGGGAAACCGUAGCUAAUACCGGAUAAUAUUUUGAACCGCAUGGUUCAAAAGUGAAAGACGGUCUUGCUGUCACUUAUAGAUGGAUCCGCGCUGCAUUAGCUAGUUGGUAAGGUAACGGCUUACCAAGGCAACGAUGCAUAGCCGACCUGAGAGGGUGAUCGGCCACACUGGAACUGAGACACGGUCCAGACUCCUACGGGAGGCAGCAGUAGGGAAUCUUCCGCAAUGGGCGAAAGCCUGACGGAACACCGCCGCGUGAGUGAUGAAGGUCUUCGGAUCGUAAAACUCUGUUAUUAGGGAAGAACAUAUGUGUAAGUAACUGUGCACAUCUUGACGGUACCUAAUCAGAAAGCCACGGCUAACUACGUG
RNAcentral lists this ribosomal RNA (497 nucleotides) under uncultured bacterium. RNAcentral describes it as "partial 16S ribosomal RNA". It matches the Rfam family "Bacterial small subunit ribosomal RNA", at positions 28 to 507 of the family's 1533-position model. The record is from RNAcentral.